GGGUUACCCCCCUCGGUGCCGCAGCUAACGCAUUAAGUACUCCGCCUGGGAAGUACGCUCGCAAGAGUGANACUCAAAGGAAUUGACGGGGACCCGCACAAGUAGCGGAGCAUGUGGUUUAAUUCGAAGCAACGCGAAGAACCUUACCUAAGCUUGACAUCCCAUUGACCUCUCCCUAAUCGGAGAUUUCCCUUCGGGGACAGUGGUGACAGGUGGUGCAUGGUUGUCGUCAGCUCGUGUCGUGAGAUGUUGGGUUAAGUCCCGCAACGAGCGCAACCCUUGCCUUUAGUUGCCAGCAUUAAGUUGGGCACUCUAGAGGGACUGCCGAGGAUAACUCGGAGGAAGGUGGGGAUGACGUCAAAUCAUCAUGCCCCUUAUGCUUAGGGCUACACACGUGCUACAAUGGGUGGUACAGAGGGUUGCCAAACCGUGAGGUGGAGCUAAUCCCUUAAAGCCAUUCUCAGUUCGGAUUGUAGGCUGAAACUCGUCUACAUGAAGCUGGAGUUACUAGUAAUCGCAGAUCAGAAUGCUGCGGUGAUGCGUUCCCGGGUCUUGUACUCACCGCCCGU
RNAcentral lists this ribosomal RNA (569 nucleotides) under uncultured Bacillota bacterium. RNAcentral describes it as "bacterial SSU rRNA". It matches the Rfam family "Bacterial small subunit ribosomal RNA", at positions 828 to 1397 of the family's 1533-position model. Lineage: Bacteria; Bacillati; Bacillota. The record is from RNAcentral.